CAGCAGCCGCGGGAAUACGUAGGGUGCGAGCGUUAAUCGGAAUUACUGGGCGUAAAGCGUGCGCAGGCGGUUCGUUAAGACAGAUGUGAAAUCCCCGGGCUUAACCUGGGAACUGCAUUUGUGACUGGCGAGCUAGAGUAUGGCAGAGGGGGGUAGAAUUCCACGUGUAGCAGUGAAAUGCGUAGAGAUGUGGAGGAAUACCGAUGGCGAAGGCAGCCCCCUGGGCCAACACUGACACUGAGGCACGAAAGCGUGGGGAGCAAACAGGAUUAGAUACCCCCGUAGUCCCUGUCUCUUAUAC
Molecule: ribosomal RNA, 301 nt
Filed under: uncultured bacterium
Lineage: Bacteria
Description: partial 16S ribosomal RNA
Rfam family: Bacterial small subunit ribosomal RNA
Source: RNAcentral